Molecule: long non-coding RNA, 666 nt
Filed under: Chloebia gouldiae (Gouldian finch)
Lineage: Eukaryota; Metazoa; Chordata; Aves; Passeriformes; Passeridae
Description: Erythrura gouldiae (Gouldian finch) lncRNA (ENSEGOG00005004237.1)
Source: RNAcentral
GAAGAGACUGGUGCAUGGUUUGUGCCUGUGGUAUUAUCCCAUAAUGGCAGCUCUUGGACUGGGGGUUGUGGACAGUGCUAGAGAGGGGCAUGAGGCAAUUAAAGCACAGGACAGGCUGGGGGAAGAGACUUAGAUGAAGUAACACAUAUGGGAUUUGCUGCAGGUCAAUAACUGUGCCUUCUUCUCCAGGCAGCAACUUGGAUCAGCUCUAGAAUUAACUCUGAGUGGUUCAAGACAGCCUGGAGAGAUUAUAAAGGUGGUCCAAGGACGGCUCUCUCUGUUCACCGUGUGGGAUUGGUCUCUGCUGCCCCUUUCAGGGAACAUCUGUAAGCACAUCACAUCUGUAAAAAAAAAGGCAGGAAGGUUCAUCUGCUGGACAAAGAAGUUGUCCUGAAUUUCCUCACCUCUCCAGAUGCCUCAUGUUUGACAGCUUCUGCUCCUGGCCAGCCACAGUUUGUGUUCUCUGGCCACCUGGGACCUGAUCUUCCUCUGACACUUCCUCAGAGAGCAGCUGCUGGGAGAGACUUUCUGGCUCUGAUUCUAGCACUCCAAGCACAGCAUCCUGGGAUGGCUUUCCCAGGAUUCUGGGAGAUUUGAAGGCCAGGCAUCAUGGCCGGUAUUUCUCCCAUGCACCCACAUCCCACAUUGAGGGUGUCCUUGUGGUAU